UUUGAACAUAUGACUUCAGUGGCGGACUGGUGAGUAACGCGUGAGCAACCUGCCUUUUAGAGGGGAAUACCAGUGAGAAAUCACUGCUAAUACCGCAUAUGCUCAAGCAUCACAUGAUGCAAUGAGGAAAGGAGUAAUCCGCUAAAAGAUGGGCUCGCGUCUGAUUAGAUAGUUGGUAAGAUAACAGCCUACCAAGUCGACGAUCAGUAGCCGGACUGAGAGGUUAAACGGCCACAUUGGGACUGAGAUACGGCCCAGACUCCUACGGGAGGCAGCAGUCGGGAAUAUUGCACAAUGGAGGAAACUCUGAUGCAGUGACGCCGCGUAUAGGACGAAGGUCUUCGGAUUGUAAACUAUUGUCGUUAGGGAAGAUACAAGACAGUACCUAAGGAGGAAGCUCUGGCUAACUACGUGCCAGCAGCCGCGGUAAUACGUAGAGAGCAAGCGUUAUCCGGAUUUAUUGGGUGUAAAGGGUGCGUAGAUGGGAGAAUAAGUUAGUUGUGAAAUCCCUCGGCUCAACUGAGGAACUGCAACUAAAACUGUUUUUCUUGAGUGCUGGAGAGGAAAGUGGAAUUCCUAGUGUAGCGGUUAAAUGCGUAGAUAUUAGGAAGAAUACCAGUGGCGAAGGCGACUUUCUGGACAGUAACUGACAUUGAGGCACGAAAGUGUGGGGAGCAAACAGGAUUAGAUACCCUGGUAGUCCACACCGUAAACGAUGAAUACUAGAUGUAGGGUAUAUUAUGUACUCUGUGUCGACGCAAACGCAGUAAGUAUUCCACCUGGGGAGUACGGCCGCAAGGUUGAAACUCAAAGGAAUUGACGGGGGCCCGCACAAGCAGUGGAGUAUGUGGUUUAAUUCGAAGAAACGCGAAGAACCUUACCAAGGCUUGACAUAUACAGGAAUACAUUAGAAAUAAUGUAGUCU
Molecule: ribosomal RNA, 925 nt
Filed under: uncultured bacterium
Lineage: Bacteria
Description: bacterial SSU rRNA
Rfam family: Bacterial small subunit ribosomal RNA
Source: RNAcentral